GACGAACGCUGGCGGCGUGCUUAACACAUGCAAGUCGAACGGAAAGGCCCUGCUUUUGCGGGGUGCUCGAGUGGCGAACGGGUGAGUAACACGUGAGUAUCCUGCCCAUGACUUUGGGAUAACUUCAGGAAACUGGGGCUAAUACCGACUAGGAGCUCCUGCUGCAUGGUGGGGGUUGGAAAGUUUCGGCGGUUGGGGACGGACUCGCGGCUUAUCAGCUUGUUGGUGGGGUAGCGGCCGAGCAAGGCUUUGACGGGUAGUCGGCCUGGGAGUGUGACCGGCCACAUGGUGCCUGGGGUACGGCCCGGGCGCAAUAGGGAGGCAGCAGUGGAGAAUAUUGCCCAACAUGCGGAGGGCGGGUGCAAGAUCGCCGCGUUGGGGAGGACGGCCUUCUGGUAGGAAACCGCUUUCGCCUGUGACGAGGCGUGAGGGACGGUAAUGGAGAAAGAAGCACCGGCAAACUACGU
This 467-nucleotide ribosomal RNA is filed under the name uncultured bacterium. Its description in RNAcentral is "partial 16S ribosomal RNA". It matches the Rfam family "Bacterial small subunit ribosomal RNA", at positions 28 to 506 of the family's 1533-position model. The record is from RNAcentral.